CUGGCGGCGUGCCUAAUACAUGCAAGUCGAACGGUCUUUCUAUGGAAGCUUGCUUUCACUGAGAAGAUAGUGGCGGACGGGUGAGUAACACGUGGGUAACCUGCCCAUAAGAGGGGGGAUAACAUCCGGAAACGGGUGCUAAUACCGCAUAGUUUUCUUGAUCGCAUGAUCGGGAAAGGAAAGACGGCCUUUGUGCUGUCGCUUAUGGAUGGACCCGCGGCGUAUUAGUUAGUUGGUGAGGUAACGGCUCACCAAGACGAUGAUACGUAGCCGACCUGAGAGGGUGAUCGGCCACAUUGGGACUGAGACACGGCCCAAACUCCUACGGGAGGCAGCAGUAGGGAAUCUUCCGCAAUGGACGAAAGUCUGACGGAGCAACGCCGCGUGAGUGAAGAAGGUUUUCGGAAUCGUAAAACUCUGUUGUCAGAGAAGAACAAGUUGGAGAGUAACUGCUCCAGCCUUGACGGUAUCUGACCAGAGAGCCACGGCUAACUACGUGCCAGCCGCUGC
RNAcentral lists this ribosomal RNA (510 nucleotides) under uncultured bacterium. Its description in RNAcentral is "bacterial SSU rRNA". It matches the Rfam family "Bacterial small subunit ribosomal RNA", at positions 36 to 518 of the family's 1533-position model. The record is from RNAcentral.